CUUCACCGACCCCAGCCACAACGGCUCCACCCGGUCCCGGCCAUAGGUCGCCAGCAGCGCCUGCGCCUC
Streptomyces sp. NRRL B-3648 is the source of this 69-nucleotide non-coding RNA. It matches the Rfam family "ASpks TB sRNA". Lineage: Bacteria; Bacillati; Actinomycetota; Actinomycetes; Kitasatosporales; Streptomycetaceae. The record is from Rfam.